Hydra vulgaris (swiftwater hydra) is the source of this 2051-nucleotide RNA transcript. RefSeq lists it as uncharacterized. NCBI's taxonomy places the organism in Eukaryota, Metazoa, Cnidaria, Hydrozoa, Anthoathecata, Hydridae. The record is from RefSeq and is a predicted model, not a curated record.
AAGUUUAUUAAAUGUUUUUUUUAAAAAAUGAUUUAUAUUUAAUAUUUUUUUAAGUGCAUGUGUUUUUUUAGAUUGAUUUAGAUUUUUUAGAUAGACCUUACGUUCCGGAAAAAAUAUAUAAAACAUCACAAAUUUAUAUUCCUCGAGUGGUAGAAACAAGACCACUCGAGAGGGCAGAUGAAAUAAUGUAUAAUGGUGAACUUGAUUAUUUUGAUGACAUUUCAGAAAUAGAUGACGAACAAGUACGGAUAUUAGACAAUAUAAUGAUCAGAAUAGAAAGAGAUUUGGCACGUCAGAUGUGAAAAAAUUAAAAAUGCUUUUAGAAAUUCCUUACGGUGUCAGAGAAAAAAUUAAAGACAGAUUAGAUUUUAUGGAGUACAUCCAGUACAAGAAUUUUGUGUAUCAACACUUUGAAUAUAAAACUAUCGAAGCAAAAAUAAAACUUGUUUUAAAUUUAUUAAAAGAAGUAGUAGACGGGAUAUUUAUAAAAGGUUUAUAAUUAAAUUAGAAGAACCUCCAUCGUACGAAGAAAGUCAUUCAAUUGAUCUAUCAAGACUCGGUUUUAAUCCGCCUUCGUAUACAGAAUGCAAUCCUCCUACGUAUGGAGAAAAUCAAAGAUAUCUGUUUACAGAUUUAUCCGCCUGAAGUUGUCAAUUUAAGACAAGAAGAACUUUUUAAUUAUUAUAAUAAAAAAAAAAAAUUUUCUUCAAUUUUGUAUAUUUCUUUUAUAAUAAAAUAAAAUUAAUAAUAAAUAAUAAAAUUUUUUCUUUUAAUUUGUAUAUUUUUUUUAUAGCAUGAUUAGUAAAGAAAAAUUAAAACAAAUGCUUAAUGAAGUAAAAGAAUUUCAUUCAAUGACACAAAACAAAUUGGAAGUUUGGAAAUAUAACUAUUAUCUUGUUUUCGAUGUUGUUUUGAAUGUUGAAACAUGGUCUUUAGAAGAUUUGUGUAAAAGAAAAUUAGCUUACGAAAAACUUUUGAACACUGUUAUACCAAAUUUACAAAAACAAAUCAACGAUUUAAUGUGUCCAUUUUUUCAUGUAAACGAAAAUUUAUUAAUGUUAUAUCAUCGUUAUCAAUUAUAUGGUAAUGAUUGUUUUUAUAACAUUAUUAACAUGUCAUCUGAUUUUUAUAAAAGACAUGAUUUAUUUGUUCAACAUUUAAUUAUACAAAGUGUAUUUAAAUUUUUUGAACGAACAUAUACUAUGCUUCGUUAUAAAACUAAACAAUACAAAUUAAUUAUGACAUCUUUUUUUAAUAUUUAUAUGGAAUGUAUAGAAUGGUUAAUUGAACAAUGUAAAUGUGUUUAUGAUCCUUAUUUUAAACCUUGUUAUGUUUAUAAAUAUGAUUUUAUUUAGAAUGUUAAGAAAAAAAUUAAUUAGACAUGCUAGAAUACAUCAUGAUUUAAAGAAAUUUUUUUCAAUAAAAGAAGACAAAUUGAAAGAGUUUUAGAUUAGGAGUAAUGGAGAAUUAAGAUUAAAAAGCCGUAAUGAUACAUGGACUUUGACAGAUUUGUGUAAAAGAAAGUUAGCUUCUGAAAAACUGUUACGAAUAGUUAUACCAAAUACUCAUAACAAAAAAAAAUGAAACUUGUAAAAAAUAAUCAAACAAGGUAUGUCAGUUAUAACCCUCAAGAAGCUAGAAUUCUUAUAAAGAUAGCAGAAGACCGAUACGGGACCGAUAGUUGUAAAGUAUUAGCAGAAUUUCAUCGUAUUGCUGUUUUUGUAGACGAACAAAUUCAAAGACGCACAAAUAAUUUUAGAAAUAUAGAACUAUUUGAACAAAUCAAUAACAAUUUUGAAAACUUUGUAAAAAGUUUAUUUUAAUAAAAUUAUAAAAUUUUUUUUUUUUUUAAGAUUUAUAAUGAAAUUAAAAAAUUAUAAUAUAUACGAUACCGAUACUCAUGUCAGCUUUAACCGCGAAGAAUAUAAAAUUUUUAUGGAAUUGGCUAUAAAUCGAUAUGGAAACAAUAAUUUUAAAGUUUUAAAAGAAUUUCAUUGCAUCACUGUAUUGAUUGAUUACGAAAUACGUAAAAAAAACAUUUAAUUUUAAGA